This 449-nucleotide ribosomal RNA is filed under the name uncultured prokaryote. Its description in RNAcentral is "bacterial SSU rRNA". It matches the Rfam family "Bacterial small subunit ribosomal RNA", at positions 355 to 796 of the family's 1533-position model. The record is from RNAcentral.
UGGGGAAUCUUGGACAAUGGGGGCAACCCUGAUCCAGCCAUGCCGCGUGGGUGAAGAAGGCCUUAGGGUUGUAAAGCACUUUCAGUAGAGAAGAAAAGCUUACGGUUAAUACCCGUGAGUCUUGACGUAACCUACAGAAGAAGCACCGGCUAACUCCGUGCCAGCAGCCGCGGCAAUACGGAGGGUGCGAGCGUUAAUCGGAAUUACUGGGCGUAAAGCGCGCGUAGGUGGAUUUGUAAGUCGGAUGUGAAAGCCCAGGGCUUAACCUUGGAAUUGCAUUCGAUACUGCAUGACUAGAGUAUGGUAGAGGGAAGUGGAAUUUCCGGUGUAGCGGUGAAAUGCGUAGAUAUCGGAAGGAACACCAGUGGCGAAGGCGACUUCCUGGGCCAAUACUGACACUGAGGUGCGAAAGCGUGGGGAGCAAACAGGAUUAGAUACCCCGGUAGUCC